GAUGAACGCUGGCGGCGUGCCUAAUACAUGCAAGUCGAGCGAAUGGAUUAAGAGCUUGCUCUUAUGAAGUUAGCGGCGGACGGGUGAGUAACACGUGGGUAACCUGCCCAUAAGACUGGGAUAACUCCGGGAAACCGGGGCUAAUACCGGAUAACAUUUUGAACCGCAUGGUUCGAAAUUGAAAGGCGGCUUCGGCUGUCACUUAUGGAUGGACCCGCGUCGCAUUAGCUAGUUGGUGAGGUAACGGCUCACCAAGGCAACGAUGCGUAGCCGGCCUGAGAGGGGGAUCGGCCACCCGGGGACUGGGACACGGCCCAGACUCCUACGGGAGGCAGCAGUAGGGAAUCUUCCGCAAUGGACGAAAGUCUGACGGAGCAACGCCGCGUGAGUGAUGAAGGCUUUCGGGUCGUAAAACUCUGUUGUUAGGGAAGAACAAGUGCUAGUUGAAUAAGCUGGCACCUUGACGGUACCUAACCAGAAAGCCACGGCUAACUACGUGCCAGCCGCCGCAGUAA
Molecule: ribosomal RNA, 515 nt
Filed under: uncultured bacterium
Lineage: Bacteria
Description: partial 16S ribosomal RNA
Rfam family: Bacterial small subunit ribosomal RNA
Source: RNAcentral